CUAUGGUGCAGGCAGGAAUUGGAACCAGCCAGAGAAUCACCUCAGUCUGCUGGACUAUGCUACAACAUUAUGGUAGAAGGCAACAGCAUUAACUAAAUGGAAGAAAUGACAUUAAUAAGAAGGUUGAUGGAUUUGGAUUAUUUUUCAUGUUUCCUGGAGGUAAAACCAGUGUCCUCACUUGUUUUCCUCUUUUUCCUCAUUUUGAAGACUAUUUGUUUUCAUUUUCUUUGCCUCCUCUCUGGCUAUGUGUCCCCGGAAGGCAGCUUGGAUUUUGACAGCAGCAACCUCUUCUUUUUCCUUAUCUUCCUCAGAAGAGUCCUUCAUCGAAAGGAGAAAAAAAGGCUCUCAAAAUAGGCUGCUGCAAAAGCUGGUAUAUUGUCCGGUUGCUCUCUCAGAAUCUCGCGUGUCAGCCCUUCAAGAAGAUUCCCAAAUCCUUGUGGAAUUCGGUAGUGGGUGUUGGAGAAUGGAAUCGACAUCUUCUUGGUAUUGGUUUUCGCUUUGCUUCAUACAUCAAUAAUGAUAUGGUGCUGCAGAAGGAGCCUGCUGGGGCAGUGAUAUGGGGCUUUGGU
Molecule: small RNA, 569 nt
Filed under: Pan troglodytes (chimpanzee)
Lineage: Eukaryota; Metazoa; Chordata; Mammalia; Primates; Hominidae
Description: processed transcript
Source: RNAcentral